Herpailurus yagouaroundi (jaguarundi) is the source of this 2212-nucleotide long non-coding RNA. RefSeq lists it as uncharacterized. The transcript has 2 exons. The record is from RefSeq and is a predicted model, not a curated record. NCBI's taxonomy places the organism in Eukaryota, Metazoa, Chordata, Mammalia, Carnivora, Felidae.
UUGCUCAUCUUGGUGUUUUUCUUCCAGGUAGUAAAAAUCCAGUUGGAAUUUAAGCGCUCAGCGUUUUCCUUCCUGAGCUGCCUGAAUCUCAGAAUAAGAGCCUUGAGCACUGUGAAGUGAAGCUCCCAUGAAUAAUUCUGGCAAAAUUUUACUGCCAAAUAAGACAGUCAACCAACUCUGCGUAGACAAGAAUGAUGGCCCACAGCCUGUGUCAGCCACUGCUGCCCUCGGUCUCUUGCCCCCAGGAAGUUCCAUUGGAACCUUUGUAGUGUCAAAGUAUAAUUUCCAGAAAGGUGAAAACCUAACUCUCAUAGAAAUGUAGAAUGAACUUGUGUCAAAGAUUUCUUCAACUCGUUAAUGAAGAAGCCAGUAAGAUGGAAAAGCUGGCUCACAGAGGAUUUGAGGAACUGAGUAUUUAUUUACAAACAUUUAAAAAAAUGUUAGAAUAAAUUGCUAGGUUGGAUAUGCAUUAAUGCCCUACAGGGCAAAUAAAACCAAAAAUUCUGGGUUAUUUUAUGUGCUAGGCAGAAAUCAUUAGUGUUUCUCCUGGACAGAAAUCUCUAUCAGAGGAUAGAAUUAAUGGACGGCAAAGUCAAACACAGGCAUGUUCUCCUAGAUAAUUGAAUAUUCUUUUCGCAGGCUUAUUAAGGCAUGCCCUAGUAUGACAUUGAAAAGACAUGACUUCUCUUUGCCUUAUCUUUCACGUUUUGGCUAAUGUAUCUGAAUAGUAGCUCUUUGAAAUACUGGUGAUGGUGUCUGGAACUUAUCUCUGAGCUGCAAACACUGUUAAAUAAGUGCUUCUGGACAUGAAUACACACACACACACACACACACACACACACACCAUAAUUAUAUAUAUUACAUAUAUAUACCAUACCAUAUAUAUACUAUAAUUAGAGAUAUAGCAUACAUAUAUACCAUAAUUGAACAAAACAAACAGCAUGUUGCAGGAAGGCUCUGGCUUAGAAAGGAGGAGACCAAGUGGGAGGUAUAGGGAAUUCAUGGCAUUUUGUGUCAUCGAACUUCAUAUUAUUUACUUUGGGCUCAAAAAGAAUUUUGGCUCAGAUCAGGUUGAAAAAGGAAAACAGAACGAAGAAACACGUUGCUUGAAUUCUGGUUCAGCCGUUGACUAAACAUACGACUUGGGCAAAGUCACAUCAGAUUGCUGUAGGUGGCAGCUGUCUCCAAAGAUGGCCCCCAGUGAACUCUGCCUCUACUUAACAUCUUUGUGCAGUCCCCUCCCAGUGUGACCAGGAAUGGUGCUGUGGCGCCCUUUUAACCAAUAGAAUGUGGGAGAAGUGAUACUACCUAAGCUGCGCUAGAUGGCCAGGCAGCUUCUGCUUCUGUGGUCUUGGAAGCCAGUCCGGAUGCAAGAAGUCUGAGUGUCCUGCUGGGGACAGAAGCCACGCAAAGGGAGUCGGAGGGCCAGGCGCCACAUGAAGAGUGAGGCGUCACUGAGGAGCUUUUAGGUAACGGGCACGAGAUGGACGAUACCAGAUUGGAAGCGCCAGCCCACUCGAGCUUCAGAAGACACCAGACUCGCUCAUCACAUGAUGGCAACCACGUGAGAGACCCCGAAACAAAUACAACAGAGAAGAAAUGCCGGGAUGCUAUGGAAAUGCAGAGGAUUUGGGGACAAACUUCUAUGGUGGUGCUAAAUGCCUUACAAACAAGCAAACAAAAAGCCAUUAAAGAAUUUGUGAGAUGUUAUUGCCAAGCAAAGGCAGACUGUGUGAGAGGCACACAAGAGUGAAGUUGAGGCUCAUGAGAAAAGUAGGGUUUGGGGGGAAAAGUAAGUUUAAUUGUAAUGAUGGAAAUUUGUGGUAUAUCCUCUUAAAAGGAGCUAUGGAUGCACAGUUUCUUGAGUUAUUGUAAGGUUGUAUGAAUCGCUGGAGAAUAUGCCUUUGAGGAGAAUUCUGAGCAAUGCUUCGUGAGAAAAGGGACACCCCGGAGGACCAGAUAGGUCUUUUGCAUGUCUGUGUGGAUGGUUUUAUGGCCCCAGAACUGGGAGUGCAGAGCAAAUCUGAAAAAGGAAGAGUCAUUUGAGAUUUACGAUAGCAACAAAAAUAUUUGUCUUCUAAGGAAACCUGGUUGGAAAUCAAGGUUUACAGGAUUUUAAACAGAAACAUACUUUAUUUAAAAAAAUUACAAUAAUCUCACGAUUGUUUUAAAAUAUUUGAGCCGACCCUAAAAUAAACCAUACUUCCGUAAA